This 1213-nucleotide ribosomal RNA is filed under the name metagenome. Its description in RNAcentral is "bacterial SSU rRNA". It matches the Rfam family "Bacterial small subunit ribosomal RNA", at positions 282 to 1520 of the family's 1533-position model. The record is from RNAcentral.
GGUAGCCGGACUGAGAGGUUGAACGGCCACAUUGGGACUGAGACACGGCCCAGACUCCUACGGGAGGCAGCAGUGGGGAAUAUUGCACAAUGGGGGAAACCCUGAUGCAGCGACGCCGCGUGGAGGAAGAAGGUCUUCGGAUUGUAAACUCCUGUUGUUGAGGAAGAUAAUGACGGUACUCAACAAGGAAGUGACGGCUAACUACGUGCCAGCAGCCGCGGUAAAACGUAGGUCACAAGCGUUGUCCGGAAUUACUGGGUGUAGAGGGAGCGCAGGCGGGAAGGCAAGUUGGAAGUGAAAUCCAUGGGCUCAACCCAUGAACUGCUUUCAAAACUGUUUUUCUUGAGUAGUGCAGAGGUAGGCGGAAUUCCCGGUGUAGCGGUGGAAUGCGUAGAUAUCGGGAGGAACACCAGUGGCGAAGGCGGCCUACCGGGCACCAACUGACGCUGAGGCUCGAAAGUGUGGGUAGCAAACAGGAUUAGAUACCCUGGUAGUCCACACUGUAAACGAUGAUUACUAGGUGUUGGAGGAUUGACCCCUUCAGUGCCGCAGUUAACACAAUAAGUAAUCCACCUGGGGAGUACGACCGCAAGGUUGAAACUCAAAGGAAUUGACGGGGGCCCGCACAAGCAGUGGAGUAUGUGGUUUAAUUCGACGCAACGCGAAGAACCUUACCAAGUCUUGACAUCCUGCGACGGUGCUGGAAACAGUACUUUCCUUCGGGACGCAGAGACAGGUGGUGCAUGGUUGUCGUCAGCUCGUGUCGUGAGAUGUUGGGUUAAGUCCCGCAACGAGCGCAACCCUUAUGGUCAGUUACUACGCAAGAGGACUCUGGCCAGACUGCCGUUGACAAAACGGAGGAAGGUGGGGAUGACGUCAAAUCAUCAUGCCCUUUAUGACUUGGGCUACACACGUACUACAAUGGCGUUAAACAAAGAGAGGCAAGACCGCGAGGUGGAGCAAAACUCAGAAACAACGUCCCAGUUCGGACUGCAGGCUGCAACUCGCCUGCACGAAGUCGGAAUUGCUAGUAAUCGCAGAUCAGCAUGCUGCGGUGAAUACGUUCCCGGGCCUUGUACACACCGCCCGUCACACCAUGAGAGCCGGGGGGACCCGAAGUCGGUAGUCUAACCGCAAGGAGGACGCCGCCGAAGGUAAAACUGGUGAUUGGGGUGAAGUCGAAACAAGGUAGCCGUAGGAGGACCUGCGGCUG